GACGAACCGUGCGAAUGUUGUUCGGAAUCACUGGGCUUAAAGGGCGCGUAAGCGGGCUGUCAAGUCUGGGGUGAAAUGCCGCGGCUCAACCGUGGAACUGCCUUAGAUACUGACGGCCUCGAGGAAGGUAGGGGCAUGCGGAACUGUAGGUGGAGCGGUGAAAUGCGUUGAUAUCUACAGGAACUCCGGUGGCGAAAGCGGCGUGCUGGACCUUUUCUGACGCUGAGGCGCGAAAGCUAGGGGAGCAAACGGG
This 253-nucleotide ribosomal RNA is filed under the name uncultured bacterium. Its description in RNAcentral is "partial 16S ribosomal RNA". It matches the Rfam family "Bacterial small subunit ribosomal RNA", at positions 524 to 776 of the family's 1533-position model. The record is from RNAcentral.